CUUCACCCGUCUUGACACACGGACCAAGGAGUCUAACAUGCAUACAAGUCUAAUAGUGUUAAAACUUUUAGGCGUAAUGAAAGUAAGAUGGUAAGAUCAUCAUUAUUAUGAUGUGCAUUAUCGAACAAUCCGGAUCCAUUGAGUGAAGGAAUUGAUUAGGAGUAUGUAUGAUAGGACCCGAAAGAUGGUGAACUAUACUUGAGUAGAAUGAAGUCAGAGGAAACUCUGAUGGAGGUUCGAAGGGGUUCUGACGUGCAAAUCGAUCUUCAAACUUGAGUAUAGGGGCGAAAGACUAAUCGACCCAUCUAGUAGCUGGUUCCCCCCG
RNAcentral lists this ribosomal RNA (325 nucleotides) under Chloropicon laureae. RNAcentral describes it as "partial Eukaryotic large subunit ribosomal RNA". It matches the Rfam family "Eukaryotic large subunit ribosomal RNA", at positions 643 to 963 of the family's 3401-position model. Lineage: Eukaryota; Viridiplantae; Chlorophyta; Chloropicophyceae; Chloropicales; Chloropicaceae. The record is from RNAcentral.